Molecule: ribosomal RNA, 488 nt
Filed under: uncultured bacterium
Lineage: Bacteria
Description: bacterial SSU rRNA
Rfam family: Bacterial small subunit ribosomal RNA
Source: RNAcentral
AUUGAACGCUGGCGGCAUGCCUAACACAUGCAAGUCGAACGGAAACGAUGGGAGCUUGCUCCCAGGCGUCGAGUGGCGGACGGGUGAGUAAUACUUAGGAAUCUGCCCAUUAGUGGGGGACAACUAGAAGAAAUUCUAGCUAAUACCGCAUACGCCCUACGGGGGAAAGCGGGGGAUCUUCGGACCUCGCGCUAAUGGAUGAGCCUAAGUCGGAUUAGCUUGUUGGUGAGGUAAUGGCUCACCAAGGCGACGAUCCGUAGCUGGUCUGAGAGGACGAUCAGCCACACUGGGAUUGAGACACGGCCCAGACUCCUACGGGAGGCAGCAGUGGGGAAUAUUGGACAAUGGGCGCAAGCCUGAUCCAGCAAUGCCGCGUGUGUGAAGAAGGCCUGCGGGUUGUAAAGCACUUUCAGUAGAGAAGAAAAGCCUACGGUUAAUAACCGUGAGUCUUGACGUAACCUACAGAAGAAGCACCGGCUAACUCCGUG